GAUGAACGCUGGCGGCGUGCCUAAUACAUGCAAGUCGAGCGAACGGACGAGAAGCUUGCUUUUCUGAUGUUAGCGGCGGACGGGUGAGUAACACGUGGAUAACCUACCUAUAAGACUGGGGUAACUUCGGGAAACCGGAGCUAAUACCGGAUAAUAUUUUGAACCGCAUGGUUCAAAAGUGAAAGACGGUCUUGCUGUCACUUAUAGAUGGAUCCGCGCUGCAUUAGCUAGUUGGUAAGGUAACGGCUUACCAAGGCAACGAUGCAUAGCCGACCUGAGAGGGUGAUCGGCCACACUGGAACUGAGACACGGUCCAGACUCCUACGGGAGGCAGCAGUAGGGAAUCUUCCGCAAAGGGCGAAAGCCUGACGGAGCAACGCCGCGUGAGUGAUGAAGGUCUUCGGAUCGUAAAACUCUGUUAUUAGGGAAGAACAUAUGUGUAAGUAACUGUGCACAUCUUGACGGUACCUAAUCAGAAAGCCACGGCUAACUACGUG
This 497-nucleotide ribosomal RNA is filed under the name uncultured bacterium. RNAcentral describes it as "partial 16S ribosomal RNA". It matches the Rfam family "Bacterial small subunit ribosomal RNA", at positions 28 to 507 of the family's 1533-position model. The record is from RNAcentral.